GGAGUCAUCUACUAAAAGGUUAGGUAACUGCUCUUUCAAGGCAGAAAUCUGGGUUCAAUUCCCAGUGGCUCUA
This 73-nucleotide transfer RNA is filed under the name Crassvirales sp. Its description in RNAcentral is "tRNA-Glu". It matches the Rfam family "tRNA". From Rfam's summary of the family: Transfer RNA (tRNA) molecules are approximately 80 nucleotides in length. The record is from RNAcentral. Lineage: Duplodnaviria; Heunggongvirae; Uroviricota; Caudoviricetes; Crassvirales.